AAAUUGAAGAGUUUGAUCAUGGCUCAGAUUGAACGCUGGCGGCAGGCCUAACACAUGCAAGUCGAACGGUAACAGGAAGCAGCUUGCUGCUUCGCUGACGAGUGGCGGACGGGUGAGUAAUGUCUGGGAAACUGCCUGAUGGAGGGGGAUAACUACUGGAAACGGUGGCUAAUACCGCAUAACGUCGCAAGACCAAAGAGGGGGACCUUCGGGCCUCUUGCCAUCAGAUGUGCCCAGAUGGGAUUAGCUUGUUGGUGAGGUAAUGGCUCACCAAGGCGACGAUCCCUAGCUGGUCUGAGAGGAUGACCAGCCACACUGGAACUGAGACACGGUCCAGACUCCUACGGGAGGCAGCAGUGGGGAAUAUUGCACAAUGGGCGCAAGCCUGAUG
RNAcentral lists this ribosomal RNA (391 nucleotides) under Salmonella enterica. Its description in RNAcentral is "bacterial SSU rRNA". It matches the Rfam family "Bacterial small subunit ribosomal RNA", at positions 1 to 388 of the family's 1533-position model. The record is from RNAcentral. RNAcentral also lists the same sequence under 2 other names. Lineage: Bacteria; Pseudomonadati; Pseudomonadota; Gammaproteobacteria; Enterobacterales; Enterobacteriaceae.